Molecule: long non-coding RNA, 2511 nt
Filed under: Homo sapiens (human)
Lineage: Eukaryota; Metazoa; Chordata; Mammalia; Primates; Hominidae
Description: MIR493 cluster host gene (MIR493HG)
Rfam family: Maternally expressed 8 exon 2 (bases 1763-1884)
Source: RNAcentral
GGUCGGAAGUCUCAUCAUCUGCUUCCUUCGGGUUAAACACGUCGGCCAGGUCUGAGUAUGGGUGUGGCAGUCCGGGUAGCAGGCUCAUGCCGUGCCUCUCUAGGGCAAUGCAUGGCGGGGGCGGGCGGAAGCAGUUCUUCAGGCAGUAGGGAGAGUGGAAGGUGCAGCGGCCUUUGAUCCAGUCGACUUCGGGGGCGUGGACUCGGAGCCAGCGGAUGCCUAGGACCACAGAGAAGUUCGGUGAAGGUACGAUGUCAAAUUCGAUGGACUCCUGGUGGUUCUGGUGGAUACACACCAGGGGCUCCGUGUAGAGCCAGACAGGCUCGUUGCCAAUCAGCGAGCCGUCCACGGAUUGGACCGGCUGUGGGUACGGCUUCUCGUAGAGCUCGACGUAGUGCUCUUGGGCGAACUUCUCAUCCAUGAAGUUGCCGUCAGCUCCCGAAUCCACCAGGGCCUGGACCGCGACGCUGUGGUAGGGGUUCACUCUCACCAUGAGCAGCAGGAAGAGGUGGGCGCGAUUGAUGUCCGGAUGGACUUCGCUGGGCAACCAGCUGCUGACCAUCCACCUCUCUGGAGCAGGUGAGUCGAUCCAGGUCAGGUUCCGGGGGCGGGCCUCGGGGGGCAGCCUGAGCAUAGCUCUUCUCUCUGCCAGCUUCUCUUCUAUUUGCAGGAUGAGCACAAUCAGACUGUCUAGGGAAUCCGGCUGAGGGACCCGGAAUAGAUAGUGCCUGAUCUCCUCGUUGAGCCCCUGGCACAAGUGGGCCUGCAGGACUUCAUCUGGCCAGCCCAAGAUGGGUACCAGGCUCUGGAACUCAUCGAUGUACUCAGUGGCAGAGCGGCCGCCCUGCCUGAUGGUGAACAUGGCCUCUUCUGCCACACGCAGUGCCUGGCGGUACUCAAACACUUCGGACAUGGCCUCCAGGAAGGCUGGGAAGUCUCCGAUCAGGGGGCUGUUUUCCUGCAGUAGAGCUUUGGCCCAUUCUAAUGCCAAGCCGGACAGGUGAUUGAUGACAUAGCCAACUCUCAGACGGUCGUUAUAGAACAUUCUUGGGUAGCUCUGUAAGGUCAGUUGGCAGAGUACGAUGAACUCGUGGAAUUCUCUGCGAUCGCCAGAGAAGUGCUUUGGGGCGGGCAGUUGGCCUGCAUUGAUCCCUUUGAUCAAGAUCUCUUCUGCUACUCUCUGUUGCUCUUUGAGGUCUUGCAUUCGGAAGUACAGCGAGAUGAUGGACCUCACCAUGGCCAUAAGUUCUGCGGUUGAGUGCUCGGUCUGGUUUUGCUCUUGAGGAGUCUCCUCCCUUCCCGAUUCCUUCAGGCACGGUGCUCGAUCCCCAAUGGAAGGAAAUGGAGGCAGACCCAUCUUGCAGGUCAUCACCAGGAAGGAGAUGAGACUCAUGUCCUGGAGACGAAUACCCCACUGGAGGUGGCGUGAAGGGGAGAUGGCUGCUUUCUCCUGGGAAGGGAGCAGAUGCCUGGCCCAGGACCAAAUCAAAAGGUCUGAAAAAUGAUAUUCAUUGUCCUAAUGUGUAAAUUUCGACAAUUUGCAAAUUUGUAGAUUCUUUAGAAUAGAACUAACUCAAGCCCUUCAUUCUGCAGCUGAGGCUCACUGCCCCCAGUGGGCAGUGGGUCCAGGGGGUUUCUGAGGACAGGGCAUGACCCAGCCCUGCUGCCCCCAAGAUGGCACCUGGCUUGGAGGGGUGAGGGGCCCUGUUAGUCUGACUUUGAAGAAGACCAGCCUUCCAGACUCGCUUGGUGCCCUGACAGGAGCCCUGGGCUCCCCCAGUGUUGCCUGGGUCUGACUUUGCCUCAGUGAAAACUGCCUCGAAUUCUUUCUUGCACCGAUGGGCAGAUGGGCAGUGUCGGAGGAUCGUGUCAUCUGUCCCGUGGCGCUGGUUGGCUUGGUCAAGUCAGUGUUCAAACUAUCUCCUGCUCUUUCAAGGGGAUCUGGGGCUCUAGAAGAUUAGAGGACUUGGAGAGGUUAGUGACUUGCUCGAGGUCGGCUAGGAAGCAAGACCCAGGAUUCCAACUCAGGUCUGUGUGAUUCCUCUGCAAAAUGGAGAGGUGGAAGGAUGGAUGUCAGGUCUGAUGGAUGGAUGGAUGCCUACAUCAAGAUACAUGCAUAGAUGGAGAGAUGGCUGGCUACCUCAUGAAUGCUGGUAAGAUGGAUGAGUGAAUUGAAGCACAGGUGGUGGAAGGAGAGAGGAAUGAGAGAGGAUAGUCAAUUUCCCACCAAGAUCAAAGGCUUACUUGAUCUUUGAAGAGAGGUUCCCUCUGAAUGGAGCUUGCUGGUGAAGCUCCUGCCUUCUGUUCUGCUUCUGAGCGCACUGACUGGCUCAGGUGGCUCUGGGACAACAGGUGGGAUGCCAGCUUACAGGGACCAAGUCCCAGCUGUGGUGCUGGAGCUGCUCAGUGGCAACUCUCCGUCUCUGCUGCUUUCACGCAGCACUGACGAAGAGCAGGCAUCCGCCUUUCCACUGGCUCUCCUGGAUGACUAAGCCCUAAGCCCCAACCGCA